This 202-nucleotide long non-coding RNA is filed under the name Cavia porcellus (domestic guinea pig). Its description in RNAcentral is "lncRNA (ENSCPOG00000036062.1)". Lineage: Eukaryota; Metazoa; Chordata; Mammalia; Rodentia; Caviidae. The record is from RNAcentral.
CUCAUUUCAGCUGGGCAGGGAUUCAUGAACGAGGUGAAAGAAGAGAAACCCAACCGCUGCCACUGCCCUCUGUAAGGCCCACAGUGCCUGGACAGCUUCUGGGGAACAAGUAUCGUGAGCCCUUAGUCACCAGUGUGUGUAAUGGAUCACGAUGCAUUCACAGGGUCCUGCCUGCCACUUGUUUUGGAGGGAUGAGCCAGGG